CCCUUAGAUGUCCGGGGCCGCACGCGCGCUACACUGAAGGAAUCUGCGUGGCUUUCUCCCUGACCCGAAAGGGUUGGGAAACCCGUUGAAUCUCCUUCGUGAUAGGGAUUGGGGCUUGAAAUUGUUCCCCAUGAACGAGGAAUUCCCAGUAAGCGCGAGUCAUAAGCUCGCGUUGAUUACGUCCCUGCCCUUUGUACACACCGCCCGUCGCUACUACCGAUUGAACGGUUUAGUGAGGGCCUCGGAUUGGUCUCGGCCCGCUCUUUACCGGGCGGCGCCGUUGGUCGAGAAGACGCUCGAACUUGAUCGUUUAGAGGAAGUAAAAGUCGUAACA
Molecule: ribosomal RNA, 334 nt
Filed under: uncultured eukaryote
Lineage: Eukaryota
Description: partial 18S ribosomal RNA
Rfam family: Eukaryotic small subunit ribosomal RNA
Source: RNAcentral